UCCCGGGCCUUGUACACACCGCCCGUCAAGCCAUGGAAGCUGGGGGUGCCUGAAGUCGGUCACCGCAAGGAGCCGCCUAGGGUAAAACUAGUAACUAGGGCUAAGUCGUAACAAGGUAGCCGUACCGGAAGGUGCGGCUGGAACACCUCCUUUCUAGAG
RNAcentral lists this ribosomal RNA (159 nucleotides) under Flavobacteriaceae bacterium CG1_02_35_72. RNAcentral's name for it is "partial 16S ribosomal RNA". It matches the Rfam family "Bacterial small subunit ribosomal RNA", at positions 1372 to 1533 of the family's 1533-position model. Lineage: Bacteria; Pseudomonadati; Bacteroidota; Flavobacteriia; Flavobacteriales; Flavobacteriaceae. The record is from RNAcentral.